Molecule: long non-coding RNA, 564 nt
Organism: Hydra vulgaris (swiftwater hydra)
Lineage: Eukaryota; Metazoa; Cnidaria; Hydrozoa; Anthoathecata; Hydridae
Source: RefSeq, a predicted model, not a curated record
ACAUCUGUUAAGCAACGGUUAUUGAACAAGUCCGUAAUUUAGACGAACGCGGUUAUAAUAUAAAACUAGUGUAGACAUGGCUUCUAUUGCUGCAUUAUUCAGGAAAGCUUGGGUACAAGAUCCAACAGUUUGUGUUGCUAUUGUUUUAGGAGUUUCCAGCGUUCCUCUUUUUUUUUUUGGACCAUAUACUAAAAAAUCAGAUGAAGAAAUGAAAAAUUGGCCGUCCAUGCAUAAUUUUUAUAAUCUUCCUACUCAAAAAAGUCUAAUUUAUGAGACAAUGCCCGAAAGAAAGCAAGAUAUACCUCGUUGGGCACCGCCAAGUUAUGACGAUUGAAAAAUUUAGUAGCAGCUAUUUUAUAGCUAUUUUAUUUUUUUGAUUGAAUACUUCUUGAUAAUUUUAUUAAUAAUUAUUAUAUUAUUGUAUAAUUAUAUUAUUAAUAUUAUAAUAUUAGUAAAUUAUUAUAUAAUUUUAUUGAUAAUUAUUAUAUAAGUAAUUAUUGAUAGUUUUAGUGUUUUUGUUGUUGUUGUUUUCUUUCUUUAUAGAAUGAUCUAUAAAUUUGUUAA